Molecule: long non-coding RNA, 1212 nt
Filed under: Brachypodium distachyon (stiff brome)
Lineage: Eukaryota; Viridiplantae; Streptophyta; Magnoliopsida; Poales; Poaceae
Description: long non-coding RNA (BDIS_LNC003347)
Source: RNAcentral
GGGCGCGUGGAGACGGCGAGGCAAGUGGGGGAAAGGAGAGAUGGGGGCUUGAGCUUUAUAGGGACGCGCUCGGGGCACUUCGGGAAGGCCGGGGUGAGCGGGUGCAGGGAUUGCGGCGGCGGGGUGUCCGGCGCGGACUCGGCGCGGGCGGUUUCCAAACGAAGACGAAGACCCUGACGCGUGGCUCCCAUGCUUUAGUGGCAGCGGACGCGCGCGCGCGUGGUCGGUUUUCUUUUUUUUUUUCUUUUCUUUUCCCCUUUUUCUCAUUUCUUUGAUAACUUUUGAUUUUGAACUCCAAAUAGGUCCAAAUAAAUUUCAGAAAAUUUGUGACCAUGAUUCAACUUUUGGGAGUGAUUUCCCCUCAAAAUAAAAUAUAUAAAAAUAAAUUUGCCCUAUAAAUGCCUUUAGGGCUAUAUAACUAUUUAAAUAAAAUACUUUUUCAACUCUAAAUACUUUUCCAAAAAUUGUGGGAUAGCUUAUAUAUGCAAUAAACCCCUUUUAUAAAUAAACGUUAUUGGUUUGAAGAUCCAAAGCUCAAAUGAGUGAAAACCCUAGGGUUUAAAUUGAAAUAAAAUCUUUUAAAGCCUUUUGAGAUUCAAAUUUGAAUUCAAAUGUGCAAUUUGUGGCAUGAUGCUCAUGGAUGCAAUGCACAUGUAAAAGGUUGAAAUUUUUGGGAUGUUACAGACCUAACCCCUUAAGAUGAAUCUCGUCCUCGAGAUUAGGUGUGGUCAGCAAAGAGGUGUGGGUGGUCUUCUCCAAGAUCAUCUUCGCCUUCCCAAUUGGCUUCCUCUUCGGUGUGAUGGUCCCACUGAACUUUGCAGAACUUGAUAGUUUUGGAUCGGGUCUGUCUAUCAGCUGUAUCCAAGAUUCUGAUCGGUUUCUCCUCGUAGGUGAGGUCACUUUGCAGUUGGACUUCUUCUAGUGGAAUUGUAUCCCUCAAGGGUGUGUCGGCCAUCUCAGGAUGACACUUCUUCAGUUGUGAUACAUGGAAGACAUUGUGGACAUUGGACAGUGCUUCCGGUAAAUCCAACUUGUAGGCUACCUCUCCUUGUCGCGACAAGAUCUUGAAAGGUCCAAUAAAUUAGGGUGCUAACUUUCCUUUUAUACCAAAUCUCUUCGCCCCGCGUAUCGGUGAUACUCUGAGAUAUGCUCUAUCUUCAGCCUCGUAGGUAACUUCCCUACGUUCGGUAUCCGCGUAACUUUUCUGCCUUG